AAAUGAAUAGACGGGGACCCGCACAAGCAGCGGAGCAUGUGGUUUAAUUCGACGCAACGCGAAGAACCUUACCAAGACUUGACAUCGAGUGCAAUCCAGAGAAAUCUGGACCUCUUCGGACACGAAGACAGGUGGUGCAUGGUUGUCGUCAGCUCGUGUCGUGAGAUGUUCGGUUAAGUCCGGCAACGAGCGCAACCCUUACGGUAUGUUGCCACCAUUCAGUUGGGCUACUCAUAUCGGACUGCCGCGGAUAACGCGGAGGAAGGCGGGGAUGACGUCAAAUCAUCAUGCCCCUUACGUCUUGGGCUACACACGUGCUACAAUGGGCGCUACAAAGAGCUGCGAGCCGGUAACGGUAAGCGAAUCUCAAAAAAGCGUUCUCAGUUCAGAUUGAGGGCUGCAACCCGCCCUCAUGAAGCAGGAGUUGCUAGUAAUCCCGAAUCAGCACGUCGGGGUGAAUGCGUUCCCGGGUCUUGUACACACCGCCCGU
RNAcentral lists this ribosomal RNA (490 nucleotides) under uncultured bacterium. Its description in RNAcentral is "bacterial SSU rRNA". It matches the Rfam family "Bacterial small subunit ribosomal RNA", at positions 903 to 1397 of the family's 1533-position model. The record is from RNAcentral.